GGGUGAGCAGUGCUGCAGUCAGCAUUAGGGAAGCUAGAAGCAACAAAAGAACCAGAGGGCUGAGUCACUGUGCCCGCUGGCCUUUCCGGAUGCGCUGGAGAGCGUGACCACAAAUGAGGACUGUUUCUCCCUGGGCAACUGCUGAGUCAAAGGCUGUAUUGUUGCCGGAGCCCAUUGAUGCACAUUCCCAUUUGCCUCUCAGCAAACAGCUGCCCUGGUUUAUAAAUUAAGGAUUCAAAACACCAUCUCUCCAGAAGUUAUUUCCCCCAGGAUUUCAUAUAAAGAUGGCUUUGAUUGUCAUGCGCUCAUUUCUCCUUAGGGUUGCCUUGUGCAUUCAGCUGCAUGGUGUAGUCGCUAACGAAGAUGAAGAUGUGACUCCUGCAACAAUAUAGGGAUUUCUUGGAACACUGGGAGGGCUCUUUUUAUAAUUUAUGUCAACACUGAGCUGAGCGGGUGCCAGUGCGCAUGAAUACAUGACGCCUUCCUAUUCUCUGACUCUAAUCCAGCAAGUCUUGCUGUGGGUUGCCCCUGCUCUUUAGGUAUCCUGCAAACAGGACUUCAAGGCAAAGGCGCUGGAUUUGGAGGUAAAAGGAAGAGAAAAAUAAAGUUGCUUGGUUGGGCA
Molecule: long non-coding RNA, 622 nt
Filed under: Mus spretus (western wild mouse)
Lineage: Eukaryota; Metazoa; Chordata; Mammalia; Rodentia; Muridae
Description: predicted gene 28199 (ENSMSPG00010047166.1)
Source: RNAcentral